RNAcentral lists this ribosomal RNA (376 nucleotides) under uncultured bacterium. Its description in RNAcentral is "bacterial SSU rRNA". It matches the Rfam family "Bacterial small subunit ribosomal RNA", at positions 28 to 407 of the family's 1533-position model. The record is from RNAcentral.
GACGAACGCUGGCGGCGUGCUUAACACAUGCAAGUCGAGCGGUAAGGCCCUUUUGGGGGUACACGAGCGGCGAACGGGUGAGUAACACGUGGGUGACCUGCCCUCAGCUCUGGGAUAAGCCUGGGAAACUGGGUCUAAUACUGGAUAUGACCUUUCCUCGCAUGGGGUUGGGUGGAAAGUUUUUCGGCUGGGGAUGGGCCCGCGGCCUAUCAGCUUGUUGGUGGGGUGAUGGCCUACCAAGGCGACGACGGGUAGCCGGCCUGAGAGGGCGACCGGCCACACUGGGACUGAGACACGGCCCAGACUCCUACGGGAGGCAGCAGUGGGGAAUAUUGCGCAAUGGGCGGAAGCCUGACGCAGCGACGCCGCGUGGGGA